GCCGAGGUGGCGGAACUGGCAGACGCGCUACGUUCAGGGCGUAGUGGGCGAAAGCUCGUGUGGGUUCAACUCCCUCCCUCGGCACCU
RNAcentral lists this transfer RNA (87 nucleotides) under Chloroflexi bacterium RBG_16_63_12. Its description in RNAcentral is "tRNA-Leu". It matches the Rfam family "tRNA". Rfam says of the family: Transfer RNA (tRNA) molecules are approximately 80 nucleotides in length. Lineage: Bacteria; Bacillati; Chloroflexota. The record is from RNAcentral.